GGGGGGGGCGGGCAACAUCUUAGGACCAGCGGCGUUGGUGGCUCAUCUCCAUGGGGAUAACUCCAGCAGUAGGAUCCCAGCAGGGAGAUAAAGCAGGAUAAAAAUGAGAACUAGAAUUUCAUUCCCCUCAAAGUCGAACGACCCACUUGCAUAACUCCUUUCUGGGACACUCGCUCGCGUCUCAGCACAGCAGGAAGGGCCAGGAGAGCGCGCAACUCAGCUUCCGAGCCUUGCGGCGGAGGCCGGCGGGUUGGCUCACACUGACGCAGGACACCGUCCUCGGGAACCCGGCUAGGGGUCGGAACAAGCCACCCGAGCCAGCCCUGUUGCUGCGGGGGCCACGCGGGAGAGACUUGACACAAGCCACUGUUUGUUUUCAAAGAAGGAGGGUACUUACCCGAAAUGUGCAUUCCCGUGGCGGUUCAGGGCCCUCCGCUUAAAGCGAAGCUCCACCAGAAAUUGCCAAGUGAAUUUGGUAGAUUUGGGACCAUAAGUUGGAAAACAAGAUAUGAAAGUAUGCUCCAAUCAAUCUUUACUAUUCAAUGAGGACACCUAUUUUGGAAAUUCACAGACCCUCGAACCCUGUCUACGAAUCCCCAGUUAAGCACCUCUAUUUUUAGAGAAGAGAAAUGCAACAACCCCGAGGAAGACAAUUUCAAAGGGAUCAGAUGGAGGAUCUGUUAGCUCUUCUUUGCAACGUCGAAGGGACUCCCACGUUUGUGUGGAGUACAGGUCUGUGAUUCAUCAGUCUUACACAAUUCACAGUGCUCACCAUAGCCUGUUUUUAAACAAACGUCUGUCUGCUUGGAAGAGGUGGUGUUCACUCUGUGGUCUAGUUACCCCUUACCUGAAAAAUGCCUUCCUCUGUGGGUCUCAGUGAGUCCCAUUCCGGAGAGUCCAGGAACUGGAAGGGGAAAAUGUAAUGCAGAAAUUCGCCAUCAACCGUCACUCUGAUCCUACCCAAAACAAAGAACAUCAUUCAUGAGAGAAGGAGAAAGCAAGCCCAUAAUUGGAGGCAAGGGGGAGGGAGCAGUAUUUCAGAUCUCCGGUGGUCUUUAUGGCUUUUAAAAUUUUGUAGCAUGAAAUAUUAAAUUCACGCAUUACAGUAAGUGACAAAAUCUCCUCUAAGAUUCAUGUACUGAUGUUCCUCACACAGUUAGGAUUCUGGAAUAUUGGGUGAAAUUCAUCAGACGAUGCAUCAAGGUAUACAUUGAUGGUAUGUGCCCAUUUGUGUGUAUAUAUUAUACUUGAAGACAAAGUUCCAAUGCACGCAGUUGGAUUUUAAAUUAAGUAGGAAAACACUGAAGAACAUAAAGGAGUGGCACUGUAAAUACCUCUGUAGACUAAUAUUUAAACUUUUUAAAGGCAUGAAUAAUCACACUAUUGUUUCCAUUAAAGUUUCCCCAAACUUCCUGUUUUCAAACUUUAUAUACAUACAAAGAUAGAUAUAAAAAUCAUAUAUGGUGAACCCCCUGCUUCUAGCAAGUGGGCAAUUCUAGAAUUUACUGAAGAAAAUUGAUCAUUAUAAAACUUAAAUGUUCUCUAUUACUUAAAAGAAUGCCCUAUCACAGUCUAUUUAAAGUACUUUGCAUGCCAACAUAAGUAUUCUAUUAAUUCAAGCUGGCAUCAUCGUCUUCUUGACUCUCAGUGAUUAGCCUGGAAACAAAUAGCAUAUCCAGACAAACCCAUUUGUACAUUUGAUUUCUAAGAAGAAAUAUUAAGGCUCUCGAUUAUAUCCUGCUUCAGGUAAAUAACAGCAUGUACUCUAAACGCCUAUGUCCAUGACUCACGUACAUGUCAAGGGGUUUCUCAUGCCUCACGGUGCUAAAAACCGCCCAGGACUGUGCUAUGCUGAGAUGGAAAAGUGUAGCAGAAAGAAACACCAGCUAGUAACUAAUACAAAGGAAAUAACUAAUAUAGAGCAAGCACCAAGAGUACAAACCUUCCCGAAACAAGCAGGGAGAGUUUAUCAAUGGAGGUUUUCCCCUGCAUGGCAUAACAGUGUUCCUUUUCCAAAGUAACCACUUCAGAGCUCAGAGCAAUUGUUCUGAAGACGGGCAAAGAGGUCCCCAGAGGCUGGAAAAGGGAGCUGUACAAUAGCUGGAAUUCUCGGGAAAAAGUUAUGCUGCGAACUUGAUAUGCAAUGUGAACAAAUUGCAUGAAGCAGAUGACAAACAGUACAAAAUUCCAGGAAUAUAUGUCAGCUGCACAGACAUCUACCCAAGCCCAGACAGCAGAGCAGAGAAAACCCAACCCCAGCAAACUGAAGACGUAAAGGAGCCCGAAGAAUCCACUGCCGCCCAUGAAACCUACUACAAAUAAAAUACUGGCAAGAUGAUAAAUGGCUCCUUCGGCCUCUUGCUUCCAGGUGAUACAGACUGGGUGUUCAUCUAUCAGGUUCUUCCAUAGACUUGAAUUUCUCUCCAUGGCUGUACUUCUGUCUGGUUCACUUUUCAGUUGACAUUCGAUGAUAUUGGAGCAAGUAAUUAAGUCCUUUGCUUUUCCAUCCUCAGAGUUUCACUAUGUCUUUAUAAAACCAGAGACAGCCCGGACACUGGGGUUGUAGUGAUUAAGGGUUUUGUGUGUAUAGAUCUUGAAAAACUAAAAAUCCCAUGCUAGCUUCUUUAAGUACAUCUGGGCUCCUGAUUCAGAUCUAGUCCACAAAUAUUUUGUGGUUUCCUGGACAAGAAAAAAAAGAAGGAUCUAAUUAAAGAAGGAAAAUUGAGAGGUAUAUUUAAAUGAAUCACCAGCAUUACUAUUCAAGUUGAUAUGCUAUUUUCUAUGAAGUUAGAAUAUUUUUUAAAAUUUUAUCUUGACAUAAUUAUAUAUUUGCAUUAGUUAUAAGGAAUAAUACAGCGAGGGCACAAAUGCUGUUAAGUUUCUAGGAUAGAAGAUGUCUAUUUUUAGGGUUAUGCUUAAUAAUAAUAAUAAAUUAUUUACCGAAAUUUUAGCAUUUGUUAGAAUUAGCUAACUACAUAUUCUGCUAGAAAGCUAGGUGCUAUCAUCAACUCAUCUUCAUAACAAUAGCUUGGUGUACCUCAGAAUCUCUUGGGACAGUGACUAAAAAUGCAGAUUCAUAAGCUGUGUGCAGACAUACUGAGUCAGAAUCUCUGAGGAUGGGGUCGGGCCUAUGUGUUGGGUGUCUUGACAAUACCCCCCAAGAUUCUGAGACACCAGUCCAUGGCCUUUCAUGGCCCACCCUCUGGGAGAUACUGUUUGACAGUGCUAUUCACUCUUACAGAUGAAAAAUUCGAGGCUUAGAGAGGCCAGCUAAUUUAUCCCUGGUCACACAGUGGUCGGGGUAGAGCAGAACUUCUGCAGGGAAGCCUCUAUGCUGGCUCCAAUCAUGUGGCUUCUCAGGAAAGAGAUUUUAAAUUAGGCACUCUAAGGAGCCCUAAUAAAACAAUAAACAUGAGAAACACAUACUUAGGAGUCAGAUUUUAAAAGCACAGAGUAGACUAUGAGUAUGUUUCAUGAAUUAGAUCAAAAUUAUUUGAGAAAUAUAAAUUCAGAUCUACCUUACUGUAUUAGAGGCUAUUUCAAGUUAAAUCUGUACCCAUAUAACUAAACAAAUAAUAUUAAAAUUCCUGCUACUUACACAUUUAUUUACCAGAUGGUCAAAAAAUGUUACCGAUUUGUUCCUCUGCACAUAUAUUCUCUACCCUUUGAGCCAUAUGGUAAAAAUGCUAAUGUGUGAUCUGAGUCAGGAGAGAUUUAACCAGGAUGAUAGAGCUGUAGGAUAUAUAUCAUUUAUCCCCAGGUUUCUUAACAAGAAAUAGUUUCAAUGUGAAGCAUUCAUUGGAUUGGAUUUUUAAACCAUAACAACAUUCAGAAGGCUUGAACUUAACUGCUAUAUUUAGUGUUUUUAUUUUUGAGAUAGAUCAUUUCCAGAACACCUGUUAAUAAAAUAUCGGGUAUCACAGAUCUUGUCUCAUAGAAAAAAAAAAAAUACACACAGAGAAGUGAAAAUGACUUAGCUGAAGUAAAAAAGGGAACAGUAUAAUCACCAACAGAAUUAGAAAUGGAAAUAAAGGAGCCACUGUUGUUGGAGUUCCUGAUUCUUCAUCCUGGAUAGUGAUUCCUUCCUCAGCAAGUAAGGACUUUAAGAGCAUCAGCAGGUGAAUCAUUAAAAAAAGAAAACAAAAAACAAAAAACAAACCACAGACCUAUAACUUAUAUUGCUAUUUGUACUUAAGCUACUUUCAAAUGUACUUUAAACAUCCCAUGCCCCCUAAAUCCUGCCUCCCCCCAUCGCUCAUGUGAGAUGAUGCGAUUCGGGGCAGACCAGCACCCCGAACGUGUUUACUUUCUCCUCUUUAAAUGCAACACAAAAUUACAUACUACUGGAUAUUCACAACAAAGAAAAAAAAAUUUUUUUUAAUACAAUGAGUAGUGAGAACUGCAGAAUACCAGACUGCAAAUGUCAGUCUCCCUGCUGUUUUACUUUUAAAACUAGGGUAUUUUAAAUUAAUCAGUUCCUCAGGAUACCUAACACAGCCACUAAAGUCAAUAUUAAAAAGCGCUGCUGCCAGAGCUCUGAACUUUGGUUUGACCUUCCUUAAAAAUUUAUAAUCCUCAACAGAAUGUUAAAAUGAUGCUAAUAGAGAACGGCCGUGUAAAACCUUGUGGCAAUGCAGAAGGCAGCUUCUGGGAAUCUUGUCCCCUGACGAUCCGGACUUGGGGGAUAGGUUGGGCCACCUGCAUUCCAGGAGGGUGACCCAUCGUGAUCAUCAGAAGAACUGCGCUUCCAGCCCUUUCUGGCGGCUUCUGUUUCAAGAAGCUACUACCAAAUCAUUUUCCUAUCCUUCAUGCUGUAGGCACUCCACACAGCAACACAGAGUGCUGACUUGCCCUGAUUAAAUUACUCCACACCCAGCCUUUCUGCCCUCGGUGUGUUUUUAUUCAGUCACCAAAGCAGAUGUAUUUUAUUAGAAGAGAAAGAACUGACAGGGGCAGGUGACAGGCAUGAGUGUUCCUCUGAUAUGGGCCAGCAGCACUCCACGACUGAACAUGAUUCAUCAACCAGCUGCCUGCUUGAAAAGCCUGGAGGCCUUAAGUCAUGUUUUUGGGUAAAUAAAUGUUGAGAUGCCAAAGUGGCACGAUGGAUUUCUUUGGCAGGAAAGCACAUCUUCCCCGCCAGAGAAAUUAGCACACGGAGAUACAAAUGAUGGAGACAAAAUUAAGUGCAAAUAAACACAAUAAUUCCCAGUUCCCCCCUUUUUACUUACCUUAGGCUGUGAGACCCUGAGUUAUAGAGGAAUGAGGACAUUUAAAGACAGGUACAAGGAUGCUCCGUGAAAUAGGAUGGAGACUUGGGACCAACUGAUUAAGACUAGCUCAGAAAUGGCAUUUAUCUGUUCACAGCCUGAACGUUUAUUAUCUCAUCGCGUCACACUUGUUGCCACGAGGGAGGCAGAAUCUAAAUUAUCAUGCUCUGCUUACCAAUGAGAAAAGCAGGGCACAAGAUCGGCUAAGUAACUGGCUUGAGGUAAGUGAGGCAGAAGUCCCAGGUAGGAGUCCCUGUCCGCUCAGCGCCAUCCCUCACCAGCAGGCAGGGCCCCUUUUCAAGGCUGUGAAUCGGAUAUGAACGUGUUGGGAGACAGUGGGAUAUUCUGUCAGGACCGGUUUGCCAGGAAAAUAAUCAUCCUAACACUGAAUAUUUAAGAUCUGCCAUAAUGCUUACCGUCGAGCCAGGGAAAUAGACCUAGAAAGCCACUCAUGAAAUAAUUUGCUGUAUUAUUAUUCAACACUGACUGACUUCCUCUCCUAGCUCCUGAAACUCUUACGGGGCAAAGACAACUGUUUUUGUAUUUCUGGCACUCACGGAACGUUGAUUGACCACACUGGUAUCCAGGUACAAGCAUUCUGCCUUCUCCAGGCCUACUCUAUCCAAUUUAAUGGAUGUUCUGACAUCUUCCGUCACCCAGGGGAAAAGAGGAGGUACACUUACUCAGGACCUACAUGCCAGGCGUAUUCAAGAAUUAUCUCACUUAACCUUCACAACAACCCCAUCGAGAAGGUACUAUAUCUCCAUCUUACAGAUGAGAAAAUUGAAACCCAGAGAAGGGGUGAUCUCUGUUGUUCUUCUCUGUGUCCCGACCUCCUAUGGCUGAUUGGGGUACCCCUAUAACCAACCCACCCUUGAGUCUUUACUUUCCAAUGGCCAAGAAGCCAGUCUCUGGAAGACAACAAUACUCUUCUGCCUCAGAUAAGUGUUCAGUGCUUCUCAGCAGGGAUCCUCAAAUCACUGAUGUUAAGUGUCACCCGGGUGGCUUGUUAGAAUGUAUCUUCCCUGGGCCCAUCCCAGAAUUACUGGGCCAGGAAGGGACCCAGGAAGAUGCCCUUCUAAUAAGCUCCCAGUUGAUUUCUUACGCACAUUGAAGUUUGAGUGCCAUUAUUUUAUGUUGUUCCUGCAUGAUUUCUGAAUUAUCCUUGUUUGUUUGCAGGACCUCAGCUUUGUUCCUUCCUGGCUGACCACUGGCUGUCCUUCUAUGCAGAUUACUCUUGUGCUUUUGAUCCCUCACUGUCUGCCCAGGACGGUAGUGCUGGUGUUAACGCUCCAUUCUGUGUCUAUUGGUUCAGUUCACCCUGUUACUUAAAAGAAAGGUUCUAGUCUUAGCCGUGCCCCUAAAUAGCUGUGUGAUUUUAAUCUUACUAGACCUGUUUCCUCAUUGGUAAAAUGGAAGUGUUGGACAAAACAAUGUGAGGUCCUUUUGGCUCUAAAAUAACACGACCCUAUGUGUGAUAAGGAAUAGAAGACUUUUCCUAGCAUGGGUUAAAAUACAGAGUUGAGUAGUGGAACUGAAUUACUGCAGGUCUUAACACCAAGUUUAUGAUCGAGGCCCCACUCUAGAGACCACUUAUUUAAUUACUUAUGGACUGUGGCGGGGCCCAGGCACUGGAAUGUUCUGACAUGUAACAAGGGUUAAGAACUAUUAGGGGGUGAGGUUGAGAGACACCAGAACAGUCUGUAGGGUAAAGGAUCUAAUUUUAAUUCUUACUUUGAAGGAGCUGGAAAGGCACAUUUUUGCCUUGUGUGUUCUCAUUCCCAUGCUUUGCUCAGGUGGGGAGGCAUUUUCCUUCCUUGCCACUCAUCAUUCCAAGAGGGCUCAAGGCUUGUGGAUAUUCUGCAGCAGCCUUUCCUCAACAGGGUGGCCUGAAUUUGCACCUUCUAGUUCUGAAUUUUUAUGGCCUUUAUUAUCUGUCAACAUGGCUUCCAUCAUAUAUUAUGUUAUAUUGACCAUAAAAAUAAUACACAUGUAAUAUGUAAUAUGUAUUAUAUAUAGUCAUUGGUCAUAUAUAUUUAGUCAUAUAAAUGUCAGCUUUAUUAGUUGGUUAUUUUACAUAUGUGUAUAUGGAAACAUAUAUGGAAUUCCCCUCUGUCUAGAACACAGUGAGUCUUCAAUAAAUGUUCAAUGACUGAUAAGGAUAACAAUGCUCAGGUAUAAAUGCAGUGUUCAGAAUAGUUUUGGAACAAGUAAGAAGCCUAAGUGAGAUGUGACUAAUACCUGAAUCAAUGAUUUAGAUGUUGGACUAGAAAGAAAGGAAAGCAUAUAUUAUACUAUGAGGAAGAAGUGAAAGGAAGAAGUGUCUCUAUUGAGACAGAGGAACAAAGAAAGGUUGAAGACCCUUUGGAAUUUUAAGAGAUCCCAAAGUUUGGAAAGAAAUCAGAGGAAAGGGGAACACAGUUUUAUCCUCAAUUAACCUAAUACUCUUGGUCUAGCAACAGAGUUCACAGCAGAAGAUAAGGGGCAAGACAGAGGGAUCUUUAAUAGUUACUAUUACACAGGACAAUACUGAAGAAAGCCUGGAGUUGGCGAGAUUAGCUAGAAAGUGAGUGCAGAGAGAAUGAGAGUUGAAGUUUAAUGCCCAUGAUCCAAGGCCUUAGAUAGAACUCUAGAGUUGUGCUGUCCAAUAUGGUAGCCAUUAGCCACAUGUGCCUGGUCUGAAUUGAGAUGUGUUAUACACAUGGAUUUCAAAGACUUAGCACAAAGAUAGAGUAUGUCAUUAAUAACUUUUAUGUUGACUAUAUGUUGAAAUGAUUAUGUUUUAGAGAUAUUGGGUUAAAUGAGACAUUAAAGUUAAUUUUGCCCAUGUCUUAUUUUUUAAUGUUGCUACUAAAAAAUUUAAAAUUAUGUAUGUGGCUUGCAUUAUAUUUCUCUUGGACAGUGCUAGUCUAGAGCCUCUCAAGUAACAGAGAAAGGAAAUGAAAAAGACUUGGCAUGACACUGUGCAAACAGUGCAUAUGUAUAAUGUAUAAGUGUAUAAAUAUGGGAGAAUUAUCUAAGAUUAAGAACAGAGAGUUGAUAUAAAUGUAAAUGAUAUUGGCUACAAUAUUCAUAUGCUACAAUCAUCAGAUGUUAUCUGUGGCGUAGAUGUCGCCAUCUGGUUUCUGCCUACAUAGGUGGCCAACCCCACUAUAGCUCUUGGCCUCUUCAUCCUACCAAGGAAGUCACUACUUUUUCCUUUUGCCUUAGGAGAAUUACACUUUCCCAAGCAACUAUAUCACAUUGUUUCAUUUUCUCGUUUCAUCUUCUGAUGAUACUUCAUGGAAUACAUUGGAAAUCCCAGACAGAUAAUCUCAUAAAUUUUGUAGUGGAGAUUGAAUUAUGGCCUUCUGGAUUCCAAAGGGUCUAUACCAGCCUUUGUUUUCAUAUAAUAUAUGAGUUUCUUCAUGCACCAUUAGGCUUCUGGGCUGGAAUAUGCCUUUGACCUUCCAUACCAAUGAGAGCUUGGCUUCUCUUGAGACUUGAGAAAAUUAGAGAACAUGCCUAUAGCCCAUGCUGGACUUCUCUGAUUCUCAGGUCUUCGCUAAAGUCCAUUUGAUUACCUGCAGCUGUGUCUGAUUUCUCACUUUAUCACAUAAGCAGAAUUGUAAGAUGGUCCCCAGGAUUCCUGUCUCAUUGGUGCACACAUGCAAUAAUCCUCUCUCCUUGAGUGUGGCAGACCUAUGAAUGGGAUGGGACAGAUACUCUCUUGAUUAGGUAACAUUAUAUGACAAAUGGUGCUGGAAUAAUCACCUGUGAUUAUUAAGCUAUAUAAGAUUGCAGGACUGGAGAGGGAUUGAAAAUUGGAGAGUCGUGUUCCUCCUGGCCUGGAAGAGAGCAAGUAAUGGCCAGCAAGUAAUGGCCAGCGGUCUCUGGGAGCUGAAAGAAGUCCUCAACUAACAGUUACCAAGAUAAUGGGAAUGUCAGUCCUAAAACCGCAAGGAGGUGAAUUCCUCCAACCACCUGAAAAUCUUGGAAGAGGUCCUUGGACUCCAAAUGGGGAGUGCAGUGAGGCUGACACCUGGAUAGCAGGCUCUCAACACCCAAGGCAGAGGAUCCAGCUCAGCUGUGCCUGGACUCCUGACCCACAAAAACUAUGCAAUGAUGGAUUUGUGGUGUUUUCAGCCACUAGCCUGUGGUACUGUUACAAAGCAGCAGGAAACUAAUACACACAAUUAUGAGUACUUACUAUACGUGAGACUUUAAUAAUCUACAUUUUAUGAUGGAGUUGGAAAACAGAUCUAUGGAGAAGAAGACACUCAAUCUUUGCUAGAUUUAAAUCAGGAAAACCAGUUAAGAACAGUAAUACUUUUGAAGAAUAGUAUUUGGAAAACAAGACACUAAGAGAGGCCCUGGGAAUUACAUGUAAAUUCACUAAGGUUACCAGCAACUUAUUACAGGUUCUCCUUCAGUGGAGUCAGACAGCCCCAACACUGUUAAGCAUUUGGACACAUGGGCAAUUUCCAGAAUAAUUAUGUCAUCCAUAUACAAUCUCCAAAAUGCCUGGAAUACCAAGUUUCCUUGGGUGGGACUUCCUGCUUAGUUCUUUGUAAAACUGAGCCAUAUGUAUAGGGCAAAUACUUGGUAUCUCAGACACAUCUAGAGAUUAACACUCAAAGACAGACUACAGAAACUCAAAUAGCUCUGUAAAUCUUCUAGUUGUGGGACUCCACCACAUUCAGAUGAGUUGAGCAAUGGGAAAUUAACGCAAAGCUAGUCACCAUCUUCUUGAACCUCAUUUACUACUAUUACGGCUACUACCAGCAUCUAACAUUUACUGAGCACUUACUAUGUGCCAGGCAUGAUUCUAAGACUCUUAAAAUAUUAAGUCAUUUAAUCCUCACAACUUUUUGAAAUAUAUAGUUCUAUUGUCCCUAUUUUACAGAUGAGAAAACUGAGGUAUAGGGAAGUUAGGUUGCCUAAGGAUACACAAAUGAUAGAGCCCAGAAUCACUCCCAGGCAGACAGAUGCAAAUAAUAACACACUGCUUCAUGUACAGUUUGAAUCUAAAUAUCUGGACUUACUGGAACAAAUCAACAACAUUCUUGUUUUCUCCCUUCAGCUCUAGAUUCAAUGAAUUUAAAUGUCUUCUUAAGAAAUUACAACUUUUUGAGCAACACAGGGUUAGGAAGGUGGGUCCCGUCUUGAAUCACUCAGUGUCCUAUAAUUCUUCAUUUGAUGAAACAGCAGUAAACCUCUCCUUCUCAACCAUGUCAUUUGAUUGCUUUUAAUAAACAAUCCCCAUGCUCUGCUCCAAGUUCUCCUUAAACUGGAAAUGGUUAAAAGCACAAGCAGACUUUUGAGCAGCUGCUCUCAUGUCAUGCCUUAAGUCCACCAGAGAUUCAUGCUGAAAAAUGCAAGACAAGCUGGACCCAUGGAUCCAUUAAACAGUCUUUUCUUGAUAUGAAUCAAAGGUAGACACCUUCACUUCCUUUUCCUCCAAGUGACUUAUAUGCAGCAAAUGAACUCACCUUUCUAUGUUUAUUUAGU
Long non-coding RNA from Mirounga angustirostris (Northern elephant seal), 10757 nucleotides. RefSeq lists it as uncharacterized. NCBI's taxonomy places the organism in Eukaryota, Metazoa, Chordata, Mammalia, Carnivora, Phocidae. The record is from RefSeq and is a predicted model, not a curated record. The transcript has 6 exons.